CCAAACAUAGCGUCGAAAUUGUUGUAGGUGGAGCUAAAUCUUAUAUUUUCUGGCGAGGUUGCAGCUGCAGGUGUGGUUUGAUCCGAGAAGCUGGUAAAAUCUGAAAUUGAAAUUGAAAUCGGAGAAAUGGGAGAGACAGCUUCUGCGGCUGCGUCCACCGUCGACGACGAUUUGCUUCUCAAGAACUUCUUCGCCGAAGUCAGCGAAGCCGAGAGGGACAACGAAGUCGCUAGGAUUCUCUCUUGUUUUAAGUUGAAUCCGUUUGAGUAUCUAAAGCUUCCAUUUGAUUCAUCACCUGAUGAUGUGAAAAAGCAGUACCGCAAGUUGUCUUUGAUGGUUCACCCUGAUAAAUGUAAGCAUCCACAAGCAAAGGAGGCUUUUGGAGCCCUAGCAAAAGCCCAACAAUUAUUACUAGACCAAAAUGAAAGAGAUUACCUUCUUAGCCAGGUCAAUUCAGCUAAAGAAGAACUUAGAGCAAAGAGGAAGAAGCAGUUGAAGAAGGAUACAGCUUCGAAAAUUAAGUCUUUGGUUGAAGAGGGAAAAUAUGAUAAACAAUAUGAACAGUCAGAGGAGUUCCAGAAAGAGCUCAAAAUCAAGGUUCGUGUACUAUUAACUGAACAAGAAUGGAGGAGAAGAAAAAUGCAGAUGAGGAUAUCAGAGGAGGAAGGCAGAUUAAAAAAGGAUGAAGAGGAACAAAAAGAGAUGUGGAAAAGGAAGCGUGAACAUGAGGAAGAGUGGGAAGGAACAAGAGAACAGAGGAAAAAGAUUUAACAUUGUACAAAAUGUGGAUAACGUUACUACAACGGAUUUAUUAUCAGGUGUCGAGUUGGAGAGAUUUCAUGAAGGGUGGAAAGAAGAAUAAGAAAGGAGAACUUCGGCCCCCUAAGCUUAAGACGGAAGAUCCAAACAAAUCCUACGUUCAGAGGCCUGUCAAAAGAGGUUAGACUGUUUGGAGGCAUUUCAUACACAAAUCAAUCUAACAAAGAAGUCCCUGAGAAGAGAGCACUCAUUUAUGCUGGCUAUUCCUUUGUCUGUCAAUUUGAUGGAUACUUGUUAGCAUGUUUAUCAGUGGGGUCACGAGAUGCAUCUAGAUGGGAUGUUACACAAGAACUACAUAGGGAUUUUAACUAGUGUGUCAUUAUUAAGUCUUUGUCAGAAAUUAUGUAACUUGCUGGUUCCGGCCUAUUGAAAAUAGGAUUAUAUUUACUUUGCGUCUCCAGCGAGUCA
Arachis stenosperma is the source of this 1227-nucleotide RNA transcript. It is a transcript of the gene named J domain-containing protein spf31-like, with no coding region annotated. The record is from RefSeq and is a predicted model, not a curated record. The transcript is spliced from 9 exons. NCBI's taxonomy places the organism in Eukaryota, Viridiplantae, Streptophyta, Magnoliopsida, Fabales, Fabaceae.